RNAcentral lists this ribosomal RNA (253 nucleotides) under uncultured bacterium. RNAcentral describes it as "partial 16S ribosomal RNA". It matches the Rfam family "Bacterial small subunit ribosomal RNA", at positions 524 to 776 of the family's 1533-position model. The record is from RNAcentral.
GACGUAGGGGGCCAGCGUUGUUCGGAAUUACUGGGCGUAAAGGGCUCGUAGGCGGCCAACUAAGUCAUACGUGAAAUCCCUCGGCUUAACCGGGGAACUGCGUCUGAUACUGGAUGGCUUGAGUUCGGGAGAGGGAUGCGGAAUUCCAGGUGUAGCGGUGAAAUGCGUAGAUAUCUGGAGGAACACCGGUGGCGAAGGCGGCAUCCUGGACCAACACUGACGCUGAUGAGCGAAAGCCAGGGGAGCAAACGGG